This 226-nucleotide long non-coding RNA is filed under the name Nicotiana benthamiana. Its description in RNAcentral is "long non-coding RNA (NBEN_LNC011681)". Lineage: Eukaryota; Viridiplantae; Streptophyta; Magnoliopsida; Solanales; Solanaceae. The record is from RNAcentral.
UUCUCUUAUCUUUUUCACCUCAAAGGAAAAGAAAAAAAGAAACAAAGCUCAAAGCUAGUAGUUCCAAGAUUGUGAGCAUAUAUACUUCUUCUUAACAAGAAGAAGAAGAAGAAAUAACAAGAAACAAAGAGCGAGAGAAAGUUUGUAGGAGAGGGGGUGGUGGUGUUAGCAGGAGAGGGGGUAUAUAGAAAGAAAGUGAAUUUUCAGUUCUCAAAAUAGGUUACGG